This 301-nucleotide ribosomal RNA is filed under the name uncultured bacterium. Its description in RNAcentral is "partial 16S ribosomal RNA". It matches the Rfam family "Bacterial small subunit ribosomal RNA", at positions 509 to 807 of the family's 1533-position model. The record is from RNAcentral.
CAGCAGCCGCGGGAAUACGGAGGGCGCGAGCGUUACCCGGAUUUACUGGGCGUAAAGGGCGUGUAGGCGGCCUGGGGCGUCCCAUGUGAAAGGCCACGGCUCAACCGUGGAGGAGCGUGGGAUACGCUCAGGCUAGAGGGUGGGAGAGGGUGGUGGAAUUCCCGGAGUAGCGGUGAAAUGCGCAGAUACCGGGAGGAACGCCGAUGGCGAAGGCAGCCACCUGGUCCACUUCUGACGCUGAGGCGCGAAAGCGUGGGGAGCAAACCGGAUUAGAUACCCGUGUAGUCCCUGUCUCUUAUAC